Rhinopithecus roxellana (golden snub-nosed monkey) is the source of this 2082-nucleotide RNA transcript. It is a transcript of the gene named protein PML-like, with no coding region annotated. Lineage: Eukaryota; Metazoa; Chordata; Mammalia; Primates; Cercopithecidae. The record is from RefSeq and is a predicted model, not a curated record. The transcript is spliced from 5 exons.
CUGAGGAGUUUUAAGCAAUUCACCCAACUCGUGCAGUAGCUGACCCAGGUAGAAUUAAGGUUGAGAGGGCAGAGGCAAGGCCCCAGGGAGGCCAGUUUCAGCUCAAUGGGAGGAUUUUCUCAUUGUUACAGGAGCUGCUUUCGCCAGUAGUGAGCACCUUGUCCCUGGAGGUGUGUGUAUAAGUUGGGCUAAUUAUUGAGCAUGUCCUGCGUCGGGCACUGUGAUUCCUGGGGUAUCUUCCAGCCCCCUUAGGACACACAAGAACCAAAGUGGUCCCUGGGCACCAGUAACUCAGAGUCAGAAGGAGGUGAUGACAGGCGUGGUGGCUCAUCCCAGCUCAUCCCAGCACUCUGGGAGGCCGAAACAGGAGAAUUGCUCAAGUCCAGGAGUUCAAGACCAGCCUGGGCAACAUAGUGAGAGCCUGUCUCUACAAAAAAAAAAAAAAACUUUUUAAAAAAGGAAGUGAUGUGAUGGAGAGUUUGGAGGACUUCUUGUCCCCAGUGAGCUCGGAGCUGUGAGUCAGGGAACCUGGACCUGUGACUUGGUGAGGCCCCAGGGAUUGGGCCAACCACAGGUCUGGGGUACCUGGCCCUGGGGCUACUGCCUAGUCAUUUCUGACUUGAUUUUCCCAACUUUGCAGCCCGAGGAGGCAGAGAGAGUGAAGGCCCAGGCUCAGGCCUUGGGGCUGGCUGAAGCCCAGCCUAUGGCUGUGGUACAGUCAGUGCCCGGGGCACACCCUGUGCCAGUGUACGCCUUCUCCAUCAAAGGCCCUUCCUACGGAGAGGAUGUCUCCAAUACAACCACAGCCCAGAAGAGGAAGUGCAGCCAGACCCAGUGCCCCAGAAAGGUCAUCAAGAUGGAGUCUGAGGAGGGGAAGGAGGCAAGGUUGGCUCGGAGCUCCCCGGAGCAGCCCAGGCCCAGCACCUCCAAGGCAGUCUCACCACCCCACCUGGAUGGGCCACCUAACCCCAGGAGCCCCGUCAUAGGAAGUGAGGUCUUCCUGCCCAACAGCAACCACGUGGCCAGUGGCGCCGGGGAGGCAGAGGAGCGCAUUGUGGUGAUCAGCAGCUCGGAAGACUCAGAUGCCGAAAACUCGUCCUCCCGAGAACUGGAUGACAGCAGCAGUGAGUCCAGUGACCUCCAGCUGGAAGACCCCAGCACCCUCAGGGUCCUGGACGAGAACCUUGCUGACCCCCAAGCAGAAGACAGACCUCUGGUUUUCUUUGACCUCAAGAUUGACAAUGAAACCCAGAAGAUUAGCCAGCUGGCUGCAGUGAACCGGGAAAGCAAGUUCCGCGUGGUCAUCCAGCCCGAAGCCUUCUUCAGCAUCUACUCCAAGGCCGUGUCCCUGGAGGUGGGGCUGCAGCACUUCCUCAGCUUUCUGAGCUCCAUGCGCCGCCCUAUCUUGGCCUGCUACAAGCUUUGGGGGCCUGGUCUCCCGAACUUCUUCCGGGCCCUGGAGGACAUUAACAGGCUCUGGGAAUUCCAGGAGGCCAUCUCAGGCUUCCUCGCUGCCCUGCCCCUCAUGGGAGCGUGUGCCCGGGGCCAGCAGCUUCAAACUCAAGAACCUGGCCCAGACCUACCUGGCGAGAAACAUGAGUGAGCGCAGUGCCAUGGCUGCUGUGCUGGCCAUGCGUGACCUGUGCCGCCUCCUCGAGGUCUCCCCGGGCCCCCAGCUGGCCCAGCAUGUCUACCCCUUCAGUAGCCUGCAGUGCUUUGCCUCCCUGCAGCCCCUGGUGCAGGCAGCUGUGCUGCCCCGGGCCGAGGCCCGCCUCCUGGCCCUCCGCAAUGUGAGCUUCGUGGAGCUGCUGAGCGCACACCGCCGUGACCGGGGGGGUCUGAAGAAGUACAGCCGCUACCUAAGCCUGCAGACCACCGCAUUGCCCCCUGCCCAGCCUGCUUUCAACCUGCAGGCUCUGGGUACCUACUUUGAAGGCCUGUUGGAGGGUCCGGCGCUGGCACGGGCAGAAGGAGUCUCCACCCCUCUUGCUGGCCAUGGCUUGGCAGAGAGGGCCUCCCAGCAGAGCUGAGAGGAGGGGGUGACCAGCUUGGAGUCUCUAGUGGGCAGAGAGGGAUGGGGUG